GAUAAACGCUGGCGGUGUGCUUUAUGCAUGCAAGUCGAACGAGUCAUUUCGGUGAUUAGUGGCAAACGGGUGAGUAACACGUAAGUAACCUGCCCUUAAGUGGGGAAUAACUCUGAGAAAUCGGAGCUAAUACCGCAUGUGGUGAUGGGGGUAAAGCUCCAUCAUUAAAGUCUUCGGGUGCUUGAGGAGGGGCUUGCGUCCGAUUAGCUAGUUGGUGAGGUAACGGCCUACCAAGGCAACUAUCGGUAGCUGGUUUGAGAGGACAAUCAGCCACACUGGGAUUGAGACACGGCCCAGACUCCUACGGGAGGCAGCAGCAAGGAAUAUUGGGCAAUGGGCGAAAGCCUGACCCAGCGACACCGCGUGGGGGAAGAAGGCCUUCGGGUUGUAAACCCCUUUUCCAGGGAAGAAUAAUGACGGUACCUGGGGAAUAAGCCUCGGCUAACUACGUGCCAGCAGCCGCGCUAAUACGUAGGAGGCAAGCGUUAUCCGGAUUUACUGGGCGUAAAGAGGACGUAGGCGGCCUUUCAAGUCGGAUGUGAAAUCUCCCGGCUAAACUGGGAGGGUGCAUUCGAUACUGAUGGGCUAGAGUGCAGCAGAGGGAAGUGGAAUUCCCGGUGUAGUGGUGAAAUGCGUAGAUAUCGGGAAGAAUACUAGUGGCGAAGGCGGCUUCCUGGGCUGUUACUGACGCUGAGGUCCGAAGGCGUGGGGAGCGAACAGGAUUAGAUACCCUGGUAGUCCACGCAGUAAACGAUGGACACUAGGUAUAGGGGGUAUCGACCCCCUCUGUGCCGAAGCUAACGCUUUAGGUGUCCCGCCUGGGGAGUACGGUCGCAAGACUAAAACUCAAAGGAAUUGACGG
Molecule: ribosomal RNA, 862 nt
Filed under: uncultured bacterium
Lineage: Bacteria
Description: bacterial SSU rRNA
Rfam family: Bacterial small subunit ribosomal RNA
Source: RNAcentral